ACGAGUUUGAUCCUGGCUCAGAUUGAACGCUGGCGGAAUGCUUUACACAUGCAAGUCGAACGGUAGAGGGGGCAACCCCUUGAGAGUGGCGAACGGGUGAGUAAUAUAUCGGAACGUGCCCAGUCGUGGGGAUAACGUAGCGAAAGCUACGCUAAUACCGCAUACGAUCUACGGAUGAAAGCGGGGGAUCGCAAGACCUCGCGCGAUUGGAGCGGCCGAUAUCAGAUUAGGUAGUUGGUGAGGUAAAGGCUCACCAAGCCGACGAUCUGUAGCUGGUCUGAGAGGACGACCAGCCACACUGGGACUGAGACACGGCCCAGACUCCUACGGGAGGCAGCAGUGGGAAUUUUGGACAAUGGGCGCAAGCCUGAUCCAGCAAUGCCGCGUGCAGGAUGAAGGCCUUCGGGUUGUAAACUGCUUUUGUACGGAACGAAACGGUGAGCUCUAAUACAGUUUGCUAACGACGGUACCGUAAGAAUAAGCACCGGCUAACUACGUG
RNAcentral lists this ribosomal RNA (499 nucleotides) under uncultured bacterium. RNAcentral describes it as "bacterial SSU rRNA". It matches the Rfam family "Bacterial small subunit ribosomal RNA", at positions 1 to 507 of the family's 1533-position model. The record is from RNAcentral.